UACGGAGGAUGCAAGCGUUAUCCGGAAUGAUUGGGCGUAAAGCGUCCGCAGGUGGCAGUUCAAGUCUGCUGUCAAAGACCGGGGCUUAACUUCGGAAAGGCAGUGGAAACUGAACAGCUAGAGUAUGGUAGGGGCAGAGGGAAUUCCUGGUGUAGCGGUGAAAUGCGCAGAUAUCAGGAGGAACACCAAUGGCGAAGGCAGCUCGCUGGGACGGUACUGACGCUGAGGCGCGAAAGCGUGGGGAGCAAACAGG
RNAcentral lists this ribosomal RNA (253 nucleotides) under uncultured bacterium. Its description in RNAcentral is "partial 16S ribosomal RNA". It matches the Rfam family "Bacterial small subunit ribosomal RNA", at positions 524 to 776 of the family's 1533-position model. The record is from RNAcentral.